Molecule: ribosomal RNA, 459 nt
Filed under: uncultured bacterium
Lineage: Bacteria
Description: partial 16S ribosomal RNA
Rfam family: Bacterial small subunit ribosomal RNA
Source: RNAcentral
CCUACGGGAGGCAGCAGUGAGGAAUAUUGGUCAAUGGUCGGGAGCCUGAACCAGCCAAGUCGCGUGAGGGAGGACGGUACAGUGUAUCGUAAACCUCUUUUGUCAGGGAACAAAGACUGGGACGCGUCCCCGGAUGAGUGUACCUGAAGAAAAAGCAUCGGCUAACUCCGUGCCAGCAGCCGCGGUAAUACGGAGGAUGCGAGCGUUAUCCGGAUUUAUUGGGUUUAAAGGGUGCGCAGGCGGUUUGUUAAGUCAGCGGUCAAAGCCCGGGGCUCAACCCCGGCCCGCCGUUGAAACUGGGAGUCUCGAGUUGGAGAGAGGUAUGCGGAAUGCGCGGUGUAGCGGUGAAAUGCAUAGAUAUCGCGCAGAACUCCGAUUGCGAAGGCAGCAUGCCGGCUCCACACUGACGCUGAGGCACGAAAGCGUGGGUAUCGAACAGGAUUAGAUACCCGGGUAGUC